RNAcentral lists this ribosomal RNA (492 nucleotides) under uncultured bacterium. RNAcentral describes it as "partial 16S ribosomal RNA". It matches the Rfam family "Bacterial small subunit ribosomal RNA", at positions 29 to 507 of the family's 1533-position model. The record is from RNAcentral.
AGUGAACGCUGGCGGUAGGCCUGACACAUGCAAGUCGAACGGCAGCACAGUAAGAGCUUGCUCUUACGGGUGGCGAGUGGCGGACGGGUGAGGAAUACAUCGGAAUCUACUUUUUCGUGGGGGAUAACGUAGGGAAACUUACGCUAAUACCGCAUACGACCUACGGGUGAAAGCAGGGGAUCUUCGGACCUUGCGCGAUUGAAUGAGCCGAUGUCGGAUUAGCUAGUUGGCGGGGUAAAGGCCCACCAAGGCGACGAUCCGUGGCUGGUCUGAGAGGAUGAUCAGCCACACUGGAACUGAGACACGGUCCAGACUCCUACGGGAGGCAGCAGUGGGGAAUAUUGGACAAUGGGCGCAAGCCUGAUCCAGCCAUACCGCGUGGGUGAAGAAGGCCUUCGGGUUGUAGAGCCCUUUUGUUGGGAAAGAAAAGCAGCAGGUUAAUACCCCGCUGUUCUGACGGUACCCAAAGAAUAAGCACCGGCUAACUUCGUG